CCUACGGGUGGCAGCAGUGAGGAAUAUUGGUCAAUGGGCGGAAGCCUGAACCAGCCAUGCCGCGUGCGGGAAGAAGGCCCUAUGGGUUGUAAACUGCUUUUGUACGGGGAUAAACCUCUCUACUUGUAUACAUCUGCAGGUACUGUACGAAUAAGGGUCGGCUAACUCCGUGCCAGCAGCCGCGGUAAUACGGAAGGCGCGAGCGUUAUCCGGAUUUAUUGGGCUUAAAGGGAGCGUAGGCGGGCGUGUAAGUCAGCGGUAAAAUGGCGGGGCUCAACCGCGCCCCGCCGUUGGAACUGGGUGCCUUGAGUGCGCGAGAGGUAGGCGGAAUGCGUGGUGUAGCGGUGAAAUGCAUAGAUAUCACGAAGAACCCCGAUUGCGAAGGCAGCAUACCGGCGUUCUACUGACGCUGAGGCACGAAGGUGCGGGUAUCGAACAGGAUUAGAUACCCUUGUAGUC
This 459-nucleotide ribosomal RNA is filed under the name uncultured bacterium. RNAcentral describes it as "partial 16S ribosomal RNA". It matches the Rfam family "Bacterial small subunit ribosomal RNA", at positions 338 to 795 of the family's 1533-position model. The record is from RNAcentral.